Molecule: ribosomal RNA, 497 nt
Filed under: uncultured bacterium
Lineage: Bacteria
Description: partial 16S ribosomal RNA
Rfam family: Bacterial small subunit ribosomal RNA
Source: RNAcentral
GAUGAACGCUGGCGGCGUGCCUAAUACAUGCAAGUCGAGCGAACAGACGAGGAGCUUGCUCCUCUGACGUUAGCGGCGGACGGGUGAGUAACACGUGGAUAACCUACCUAUAAGACUGGGAUAACUUCGGGAAACCGGAGCUAAUACCGGAUAAUAUAUUGAACCGCAUGGUUCAAUAGAGAAAGACGGUUUUGCUGUCACUUAUAGAUGGAUCCGCGCCGCAUUAGCUAGUUGGUAAGGUAACGGCUUACCAAGGCAACGAUGCGUAGCUGACCUGAGAGGGUGAUCGGCCACACUGGAACUGAGACACGGUCCAGACUCCUACGGGAGGCAGCAGUAGGGAAUCUUCCGCAAUGGGCGAAAGCCUGACGGAGCAACGCCGCGUGAGUGAUGAAGGUCUUCGGAUCGUAAAACUCUGUUAUUAGGGAAGAACAAAUGUGUAAGUAACUAUGCACGUCUUGACGGUACCUAAUCAGAAAGCCACGGCUAACUACGUG